CCUACGGUGGGCUGCAGUGGGGAAUAUUGGGCAAUGGGCGCAAGCCUGACCCAGCAAUGCCGCGUGAAGGAAGAAGGCUUUCGGGUUGUAACCUUCUUUGACAGGGGAAGAGAAGAAGACGGUACCCUGAAAACCCGCCACGGCUAACUACGUGCCCGCAGCCGCGGUAAUACGGAGGUGGCAAGCGUUGUCCGGAUUUACUGGGUGUAAAGGGCGUGUAGCCGGGAAGGCAAGUCAGAUGUGAAAUCUGGUGGCUCAACCUCCAAUUUGCAUUUGAAACUGGUUGUCUUGAGGACAGGAGAGGCAGACGGAAGUCCUUGUGUAGCGGUGAAAUGCGUAGAUAUAAGGAGGAACACCAGUGGCGAAGGCGGGCUGCUGGACAGCAACUGACGGUGAGGCGCGAAAGCGUGGGGAGCAAACAGGAUUAGAUACCCCAGUAGUC
Molecule: ribosomal RNA, 442 nt
Filed under: uncultured bacterium
Lineage: Bacteria
Description: partial 16S ribosomal RNA
Rfam family: Bacterial small subunit ribosomal RNA
Source: RNAcentral